UAAAAUCAAGAUGCAAAAAUAGAAUCAGGCUAACUGGGGUGGUAAUAAGUAUCAAAGAAUAAGAAAAUUACCCAUUGAUUUGUUUUAAAAUGUUUUCUUGGGGAAAAUCAUCCCUCCUAAAAUUGCUAAGAAGGUAUAAUCCAUAAACGUAGACAUGUUAAGCUAUGAUCACAAACAGUAUAAGCUAAACAAUGAAGAUUUAGAUAACAGUGUGCUUGUCUUACUGGAAUAUGGUUUUCUUUCAGCAAGAAAAAUUCUAAAUAACUGGGUCUUUCACAUGUGUCAGUUUAUGGAUUCAAGUAUUUUGUUCACUAGUGCUAUGUAAAGCAAAUCAACCUUAUUUUAAAUUCAACUGAAUGUUUUGAAAAAUUUUAGAUGUAUACAUUCUUAAUAGGCUAGAUGGGCCUUGUUCUCACACUUGCUGAUUUGGAGUUACCUGAGAACUCAUUGAUCUAUUACAUACAUGGACCAGUAUAGUGAUCUAUCCUGUUUCUUGCAGUCACUGGUGCCUGUACUGAGCCGAGUUUUGAGCACAAACAUGCAGUAUUGUAUCUCUCCUACAUGAUACUCCAAUAAGGUGGUACUCAGGUUAACUAGUGGUUGUCCUUAGGACAAAAUAAGUUUCUUGGUUUGUGAAUUUUGACAUUUUUCUUUUUGACUUUAAUGUACAGAGUAUAAAAUUGGCAUGUAUCUAUAAGACUGUAAAAGCAGAAUUUAAGGCUAAAUUAAAGUAGUUGGCUGUGUCCAUAUUUUAGACUAUGAAAUUUAGAGCUUUCUACUAGAUCAAAUUCUUCAUAAGCAUUCAUAUAUUCCCUCAUACUUAAUGUUGCUUGUGUGCUUCAAGACCAAGUAGCUUUGCACAGGUCCAGCUCCUGUAUCAAUAUGGUAUAGUGACUGAGAGCCUAUCAAGUGUGUAGGUGUGCCAGAUGAAUUCAGCUAAGUACAGAUGAUAGCCUUCCCAAAAUGGCAGCAUACUGAUUGCUGAUAAAUUCUAACAGCAGAAUCAGAAAGUUAUCCAAACAAAUUUAUCUGUUGCUGUUUAGAAAGCUGGUAGCUUUUAGGUAUGGGGCACGCCAGGACAGUUAUUGUGAUGUCGUCCUACUUCACAGUGGACUGCUGUGUUUCAUCAGUCAAGGCAGGUGUUUGUUGGUUCUAAGAGCAGAGGGUAGGCUAAGCUCCAGCCUGAAUCUUUGUGGAAGUCACUAGACAGAGCCUUACAGAAGUUAAUGUAUUUUCUUUGAGAAAUGGACAUACAAAACAUGGAACUCCAUUUGUUCAGAUGUUUACAAAGCAUUUGGCUUUCUAUUGCUGCACAUGAAUAGUAUCUUGACAGUUAUUACUUUUUUGUUUUUCUAAAUCCAUGUGAAAGCACACCCAGAAUGCAUGAAGGACAGACAUCUUGGUGGACUUGGUUCUCUACCGUGAGCUGGUGAAAUGAUUCUGCCGGUAAAGGUACUUAUAGCCAGUGCUGACAGAUGAACGGAUGGAAAGUAAGCGCCAGUUCUCACAAGUUGUCCCCUGACAUGCACCUUGGCAAGCAUGCCCUUACACAAGUGUAUCCACACACUAACUAAUUCUAAAGAUUCAUUGUCUACAUUAUCCAUCCUUGUACCCUCCUGGCAUCUAUAAACAUGAAAACUAAUCUUAAUUUAAAAAAUCCCACCCAGAGCAUUCAUUUGAAAAACAUUUAUGAACUAUCCACUGUGACUUUUCAAAGCACUGUAUGAAGUACUGAAGAUACUGGAAUUAAAAGGUACAGAAUACCAACUUGAGUUGCUAAUCUGAGACCAGCAAGGGAGGAGGGAGGCAAGAGAGCUGGAGGCCCUCCUCCCUGGGCGUCAUGUAGAGAAUCAGAGAUGUCUCUGAAAGCUGGCAUGCUCUUAUAGACAGAUCCAAACCUAAAGUGAAAGUCUACCUGCUUCUGUUUAUUUUUGAAAUGAAAGUAGAUUGAGUCAUAGGAUGUAAGCUUCUGAUGCACUGUAGAACUAAGUAUUCCCUGCUUGGUCUUCAUUUGUAUGAUGGAAAUAGUAGAUCUCAGGACUCUAUUUGGAACUAACAUUUUUAAAAAGGAGAAAUGUGAAAUACCACAGCAGAGGAGAGUGAAGAGGAGGGAGAGGACGAGGGGAGAGGACCAAGCAAACACUAAAGGAUGGACACAACUUAAACUGAAGCUCAAGAAGAAGCCACUUAAGGCUACAUGGCUACAAGAUGGUGAAAAGUGGUUUCACUCCAUCUUCUGAGGACCAAACCCAGGGCCUUGCACUUGCUACAUAAGCGCUCUAUCACUGAGCUAAA
Molecule: long non-coding RNA, 2295 nt
Organism: Mastomys coucha (southern multimammate mouse)
Lineage: Eukaryota; Metazoa; Chordata; Mammalia; Rodentia; Muridae
Exons: 2
Source: RefSeq, a predicted model, not a curated record